Neopelma chrysocephalum (saffron-crested tyrant-manakin) is the source of this 2784-nucleotide long non-coding RNA. RefSeq lists it as uncharacterized. The transcript is spliced from 3 exons. The record is from RefSeq and is a predicted model, not a curated record. NCBI's taxonomy places the organism in Eukaryota, Metazoa, Chordata, Aves, Passeriformes, Pipridae.
GUUGAAUUUACUCAUGUGAGAGAAACCACUCUGUUAUAUAAGUUAAAGGUUCACAUUCUGUCAUUCAUUUUUUCACUUUACAUUAUUGAUAAAAUAGAGAAAAAAAGGGACUAAAGGAGGCAGGAAGAGAAGUAAAAAUAGAGGUGAAUUAAUAGCAAAAAUUAAAUAUUCAAUAUUUCUUUUAACUGCAGUCAGAGAUGGGGAUUAUAUUUGACUAAACAACCAAAUUCCCCACCACAAGCCAGGACUUCACUUUUUAUUUCAAUACUCUUGAUAGAAAGGACCCAAUCAGAUAUUCUGUGUGUGCUAAAUAGUGUACUACCAAGACUAGUAGACCAAGCAAAUAGUUUUGUUUUAUUGUCCAAAUGGUGUAAUAUUUUACUGCAAGUAUAAAUAGCGCACUCAUUUGCCUGAUCCAAGUUCCCAAUGUACUUUAUAAUAAACCAAGUAAUUUUGAGAGAAAUAUGUUGACCAACCCUAGCCUAACACUAUUCACAUAGUUCAAUACUGAAACAAAUUCCACCCAUUAAAAAGUCAAUGGUAUUGCAUUUACUUUUACAAGUUGAAAGAUAAAGACAGAAAUGCAAGAGAUGGAGCAAUAAGAACCAUGUGGUCCCUGCUCUUUAAGGGUCUCAUCCAGAGCCUGUUAAGGUAAUGCGCAUAUUCUUUUUGAUUUUCACAGACUUUGCAUAAGUCAAAAAUUAUUGAAAAUUAAAAACAGGAAAAGAACCAUUCUGUUUAUAUUUGUUAGGUUAUAUCCAUAAUGAACUUGUAAAAAAUGAAAACAGAAGAAAAUAUUAAAGCAGAUCCAAAUAUUACAUUUAUUCUAGAAUUCAAGAUUACCUCAUUUUCUGCUCCAAAGUAAGUGCACAAUGUCAUGAACACCAGAUUUUUCCAAAGCCUUUACUGAAAACAUUUCCCAUAAUGGAAUACUUCACUUUGCUUUCUUCUUACAGCUGUUCCUUCUAGAAAAAUGCACUUUUGGACAAGUAGUUAGGAAUAUCAGGGGGGUAGUCUGGAGCAAACCACAACAUGAGACACCAAAGCAUUACAGAUUGCUCUCAUGGGAAUUGCUGGGUGGGAAGUGGUGGUGGGUCAGAAAAAAAGCCAAAGGAGAGUGUCCAGGAGUGCCCCAGGGAUCAGAAGCAGGGCGAAACAUCACUCUUACAAACAAAGAUUUCUGACCUAACCUAGAUUUUCAUUUAUGGUUAGACCAGACAGAUUUUAUUCUUACAAUGGAUUUUUAUCUCAGAUAAAAUCAAACAAGCAAAAGGACUAUAAGAUUAGAUCCUCAUUCUGCACCCACCAAAGGAGAACUGAGGAAAAAAGAGAUGGAGCGAUUUGCUGGGGCAAGAUGAGCCCUAGGUUGAAAGAGACCUCCUGUCCUGUUCAGAGGCUGCCCUUUCCUGACUGUGAUGUAGAAGAAACACAGCUAUCAGUAGGCCCUUGCAAAAACCCUCCACCUGUUUUUGCUCAAAGUGACAAAGCCCAGAGGACAAUGUCUGUAUUCCCUACUAAUCUGUAGGAAGCGUGAUGUAGCUGAUGCAAUUCCUGGCCCCAGCACACCUGCAAGGUCUCAUUGAUCUGCUGCUCACUGCUCUGAAAACUCAGAAAUCUAUUAUCAGUGUAAGCAUGUGCUUAUUGAUCAGAUUACCUGCUUCUGUUCCCUGUGUGUACGUAAUUGUACCAGCGUGCAUGCACGCACACACACGCACACAUAAAUAUACACACAUGUAUAUGUUUUCAUAUAUACAGGCAUGCACACACAGGUUACAGGGAUGUGUGUAUGUUAAAGGCUUUACUUUUUUUUUAUUUAAUUUUUUCUUUACAAAACUGCACAUAAAUAAAAAGAACGGACCUUCUCUGUGAAACGUGAGCACAGGAGCACUCACAAGUGGCCAAGAGCUGCUAAAUAAUUAAUCAAUAGAGCAGUGUGGCAGUUUGAAAUGUAAAUGUGAUGGAUGAAGGUGUGAUGCUUGUCAUCAAGCAGAAAAUGAUGUGACUGGAAUGGAUAACCCACAGUACCUGCUAACUUGCAAAAGCUUGGACACAAAGAUAAAGUAAAGCCAUCAGAAAGCAGCCCCGGCAACCCCUAAUUCUUGCCUUUGACCCACAAUUCACUUUCAUGUCUCUGUCCCAGAAGAGAUGUUUAAAAAAAUGAUGAAGAGAGAUCUUGGGGUGGGAAAGGGGAGAGAAAAAAACCAUCUGAAGAAAUGCUACCUGACAAGGCUGCAGGCUACAUUCUUGAGAACACCUUUCUUUUCUUUAUGUUCCCCUACUCCUGUUAAAUAAAAAUGCGGCUCUUUUUUUCCCUUUCCUUUCUUCCAAAACUCUCCUGAGCCAUUCCUGCAAGUGGUUCUGUGACUCGGGAGCUGACAACAGCCGCGUGCAAAGGAACAAAGAAUGAGAGUGACAAUUCAGAGUGCACGCAGAUAGUCUUCCUUUGGUCGCAAGAUGACAGUGAGAAUGGAUUGUCAAACUGGACCACUAUGACAAUUUACUCUGGGGGGAGAAAAUCCUGUCAAGAAGGAGAGCAACCACUCAAGAACUGGAUGAGGGUUUUUUACAAAAUUUUUAAUGACCCAAAGAUGAAAGCCAGGUUUAUUAUACUUAACUAUGCAAACCACUUUGGAAAAAAUAACUAUUAAAAAAAAAAGUCAAGGUUUGUUUUUUCUGGGGUUUUUUUGGUGCAAAAUGGUACUUUUACAUCAUAUUCACUUAAAUUAAUAAUGUAAAUAAUUAUGUGAGGACAAAAAAUCCAGAAAAAAAAGAUAAAACUAAACA